This 292-nucleotide ribosomal RNA is filed under the name uncultured bacterium. RNAcentral describes it as "partial 16S ribosomal RNA". It matches the Rfam family "Bacterial small subunit ribosomal RNA", at positions 505 to 796 of the family's 1533-position model. The record is from RNAcentral.
GUGCCAGCAGCCGCGGUAAGACGAACCGAGCGAACGUUAUUCGGAAUCACUGGGCUUAAAGGGCGCGUAGGCGGGCGGCCAAGUCAGGGGUGAAAGCCCCCAGCUCAACUGGGGAAGUGCCUCUGAUACUGGCCGUCUCGAGCGAGGUAGGGGCGUGCGGAACUUCCGGUGGAGCGGUGAAAUGCGUAGAUAUCGGAAGGAACACCGGUGGCGAAAGCGGCGCGCUGGACCUCUUCUGACGCUGAGGCGCGAAAGCCAGGGGAGCAAACGGGAUUAGAUACCCCAGUAGUCC